UUUCCGUAGGUGAACCUGCGGAAGGAUCAUUAACGAGUUAGGGUCUUCUAGGCCCGACCUCCCAACCCUUUGUUUACUGAACCAUUGUUGCCUCGGUGGGUCCGUCUUACGACCGCCGGGGGAUCGCCGCGAGGCGCCCCCUGGCCAGCGCCCACCGAUAGCCCAACCAUUAAAACCCUUUGUGAAUCGUGUCUUAUGUCUAAAUUUAUGAUUAAACAAUCAAAACAAAACUUUCAACAACGGAUCUCUUGGUUCUG
Molecule: unclassified non-coding RNA, 257 nt
Filed under: plant metagenome
Description: partial contains small subunit ribosomal RNA, internal transcribed spacer 1, and 5.8S ribosomal RNA
Source: RNAcentral